UCCGUUCGAGGUGGCUGCCAGAGCUUCCGCCAAACUGGUUCAGCGACCGCCGUUGUUUCAUUUUCUUAGUUCGGGUCAUGUUUUGAGCGUCGUAUGUCGCUCUUAAGUUGCUGUGAGUGCUGCGAAAGUGAUCAGGGACUGAGUUUGUGGUUGCUGUUGGUUUCGGGUUAAGAGAAAUGGUUUCGUUGACGCAUUUUGAGUUAUGGUUUCGACGAGUCAAGCUUUACCUUUUCAGGAACCGGAUGAAGAAGCAUUAAGAAGUGUCAUACUG
Arachis ipaensis is the source of this 271-nucleotide non-coding RNA. NCBI's taxonomy places the organism in Eukaryota, Viridiplantae, Streptophyta, Magnoliopsida, Fabales, Fabaceae. The record is from RefSeq and is a predicted model, not a curated record.